Molecule: long non-coding RNA, 643 nt
Organism: Pygocentrus nattereri (red-bellied piranha)
Lineage: Eukaryota; Metazoa; Chordata; Actinopteri; Characiformes; Serrasalmidae
Exons: 3
Source: RefSeq, a predicted model, not a curated record
UCUGUCUGUAUUGGCUCAUUGACCCUGGACCGUUAUGACACUGAUUUUGGAUUUGCCCUUAAUAAGCCGUUUACCUCCGCACAGGCGUCCGCUACCUCGCUCCCCGUUACACGUUGUUUUGACAUGGCUUCUGGUCAUUGUCCAUCAGCACUGUGAAGCACCGUCCAAGGAGUCUAUAGAAGAUAAUAACUUCAGAAUUCAUCCCGCUGCUUUGCUCCUUUUGACAGCAGUCAAAUCAUCAAGGAGUCCAUUCCACUGGUAGCCAUUCAUGCCUGUGUCAUAAGAUUACCUCCACCCUGAUUGACAGAUGUAAUGAGCAAAGUUCGCAGUGGUCUUGGGCUGGUUUCGCCUGUGCAGACAAGAAGGCCUUGGGGUGGUGAGCAUCAAACAUACCCCAAGAAGUGUCUCGGGCGAAAGAAUGUGACAGACCCACCCUGUCCACGGUCUGGUCCAACCAGAAGGAGGGUGUUACUCCAUACACCUAUAGGGAUGCUGUGAAGAGAAACAGUGAGAAUCCUGGACAAUGGUUCCCAAUCCUGGGAACCCCACACUCUGUUUUCUCUCUCUUAACACACCAGAGGGGCUUGUAUUUUUUUUUAUUUAAUAUACUUCCAGUGCAUAUUGUCACGAGUGGCCCCUCCCA